Molecule: RNA transcript, 2319 nt
Organism: Eucalyptus grandis
Lineage: Eukaryota; Viridiplantae; Streptophyta; Magnoliopsida; Myrtales; Myrtaceae
Exons: 7
Source: RefSeq, a predicted model, not a curated record
CCUAAUAUUUUCUCCCUUCUCCGACGCUCGAUGCCCUCUCUGCACUCUACCCCGACGCUCGACGGCCGAUUUCGCUCGCCUCUCCCACGACCUCCACGCUUUUGGCGGUUCUUCCCUCGCGGUUCGGUGAGGUCUCGGGUAUGCCCUCGUGCUGCGUCUCUUCUUCCUUGCUCAGCAACACCGUACUGCCUCUCUCUCUCUGAGUGUGUCUCUCUGUGCAUUCUUUCAUCCAUGAGGCAAGCAUUUCGACUAGGGUUCAGGGGUUUCGCCACCCCUUCUUCGAGGUUCGUCCGGGUACCUCUCAUUUUUGCGUGAACCCAGCGUGAAUUUUAUAGUCUUUCUUUCCAUAUGACUACCCUUUUCACUUCGAUCGGUCCUUAAGCAAAAGCGACUGCUAAGCGACAAUGCGACGGCAGUUUCGAAUCCUGGGUUUCGCUCUGUGAUGCUAAGCGUUGCUUUGGUUCCUUAAAAAGUUGCUGACUUUUUCGCAUAUUGUAGCUUCUUGGUUGCUCUGAGAUUCUGGGUUGGUCGUUCUAUCGUCUUUCUCUGAGCGAGCGAAAUGUUGUCCAAAAGGGGCGUGUCGAAUUCGUCGACCCUGAGUCGGCGGCGACUUCUGAGGACAAGAAAGGGAAGAAAUCGAAAGGAUUGGUGGCUUCAGUUCCUAGUUCUACCAAAAGUCAUGUCAAGAAAAAUUCUGGUGCAAGCAUUGGUGAAGUCGUGUUGCCUAAUAAUGACCCGGCCAAAAUUGAGGCAAUGAUAUUUCACGAAUUGAGAGCUACAUUGAGGGAGAUUAUUGAGCACGGAAGUGAAUAUUACUGAUGGAAAACCAUGAGGUCUUGAGAAUUUGCCUUCAACAAAGAGCAAUUUGUUUAUGAAAAUGAAAUUUUUUGCAUCACGCUUUUUCUCAAAAUGAUAAUGAAACCUGUAAGUCCUUUUUUGUAUUUCUAUGGUUGUUUCUGAGGCUUGUAAAUUGUUAUUGUAAAGCAUGUGGGAAGAGUACACGGAAUGACUGGGUUGAAGGACUAGCUCCCUACCUACUGUUGCAGUUCAAAGGCAUUCUGAUUUGUUACCGCGAGUGCAUUUGACCCCAAUGAAUUGUCAUAUUUUGACCAAGAAUGUCGGAGUCUGUAUAGAUAUUCUGAUGUUUUAAUCUAGUUAAUUGAUAUAAUAAUAUGCUUGUAAUAGGGUUAGUCCAUUUGCUUUGUGUAUAUUCGAAUGAAAUGCUUCUCAUCUUAAAUAAAGAUCACAGCCAAUGAUCAGUUAAGUUGCUUAUGAGAUAUAAUUAGCAUCUCAAGUGAUGUUGGAUGAAUAAUAAAAUCGGCAUGGGUUGCACUUUGUAUGUCAGAAACGCAAAAGUACUACCUUCUCUCUAUAUUAAUUUGUGUAAGGUGGAUACCGUGCCUUCUGGUUUUCUCCUACACUUGGCUUUUUUGGAUUAUUAUUUUUGAGGUUAUUUCUAGUAUUUUUUGUGUGCAGAUAAAGCCCCUUUCGGUUACAUAUGGCUUGGGCAUAUCAAAUCAUGAUUCUGAGGGACGGCUUGUCACUGCAGAGUUUGAUUCAUUCUAUCUCUUGAGCGGUUACGUUCCUAAUUCUGGUGAUGGCCUGAGAAGACUGAUGUAUAGGAUUUCACAGUGGGAUCCAUCUCUUGGUAACUACAUAAAGAACUUGAAAAGUUGAAGCCUGUGAUUUUGACUGGCGAUCUGAAUUGUACCCAUCAGGAAAUAGACAUUUAUGAUCCUGCGGGAAAUAAAAGAAGUGCUGGAUUUACAAUUGAAGAAAGGGAAUCUUUUGAGACCAACUUCCUGUCGAGGGGCUUUGUUGAUACCUUUAGAAGACAGUAUCCUCAUGCUGUUGGUUAUACUUAUUGGGGUUAUCAGCAUGGUGGGAGGAAGACAAAUAAAGGGUGGCGGCUUGAUUAUUUUCUUGUUUCAGAAUCUAUAGCAGACAAAGUUCAUGACUCGUACAUCCUUCCUGAUAUCACCGAUAGUGAUCAUAGUCCUAUUGGCCUGAUUCUCCAGCUUUAGUUCUGUCAUCUCUUUGGGGAUCUUGGUGAAUGGACUGCGAAGGUAGUCCGGCAGCAUCAUCCUAGAUGCUGUUUGCUGAAAAGUAUUGAGCUUUUAUUGUCAUUGUCAUUCAUGUUGAAGCCACUAGCAAGGGAAAGUUUUUUUGAUGAAAUUUGCUUAGCAAAAGGGGGCAAAGAAAAGAAGGAAGAGAUGAAGGGGCUGACUGUAUUUACUUUGUCUGGGCCCAGUGGAGUGAUCUGGGUUUUUCUAGAUUAUUUUACAAGGCAUCUUUUGGAGGAAGAGUUAUGAUGGAACA